GUUAUAGCUCAGUGGUAGAGCACUUUGCCUUGCAAGCAUGAAGUACUGGGUUCAAUCCUCAGCACUACA
Molecule: transfer RNA, 69 nt
Filed under: Marmota monax (woodchuck)
Lineage: Eukaryota; Metazoa; Chordata; Mammalia; Rodentia; Sciuridae
Description: tRNA.Ala
Rfam family: tRNA (bases 5-62)
About the family: Transfer RNA (tRNA) molecules are approximately 80 nucleotides in length. Their secondary structure includes four short double-helical elements and three loops (D, anti-codon, and T loops).
Source: RNAcentral